RNAcentral lists this ribosomal RNA (253 nucleotides) under uncultured bacterium. RNAcentral describes it as "partial 16S ribosomal RNA". It matches the Rfam family "Bacterial small subunit ribosomal RNA", at positions 524 to 776 of the family's 1533-position model. The record is from RNAcentral.
CACGUAGGGUGCGAGCGUUGUCCGGAAUUAUUGGGCGUAAAGAGCUCGUAGGCGGUGUGUCGCGUCGGCCGUGAAAACCUGCAGCUUAACUGUGGGCUUGCGGUCGAUACGGGUGGGCUGGAGUUCGGUAGGGGAGACUGGAAUUCCUGGUGUAGCGGUGAAAUGCGCAGAUAUCAGGAGGAACACCGGUGGCGAAGGCGGGUCUCUGGGCCGAUACUGACGCUGAGGAGCGAAAGCGUGGGGAGCGAACAGG